ACGGCUCAGUAACACGUAGUCAACCUACCCUCGGGACGGGGAUAACCUCGGGAAACUGAGGACAAUCCCCGAUAAGUGAGGGACGCUGGAAUGCCCCCUCACUCAAAUCCUCCGGGGCCCGGGGAUGGGACUGCGGCCUAUCAGGCUGUUGGUGGUGUAACGGACCACCAAACCUACAACGGGUACGGGCGAUGGGAGUCGGAGCCCGGAGAUGGGGACUGAGACAAGGCCCCAGGCCCUACGGGGCGCAGCAGGCGCGAAAACUCCGCAAUGCGCGAAAGCGUGACGGGGGAACCCCAAGUGCCGUUGGUCUUUUGAUCGACGGCUUUUGUGGAGUGUAAGAAGCUCCACGAAUAAGGGCUGGGUAAGUCGGGUGCCAGCCGCCGCGGUAAUACCCGCAGCCCAAGUGGUGGUCGCGAUUAUUGGGCCUAAAGCGCUCGUAGCCGGGUUGGCAAGUCCCUUGUGAAAUCGGGCGGCCCAACCGUUCGGCUGGCAAGGGAUACUGCCAGCCUUGAGGCCGGGAGACGUCAGGGGUACUCCGGGGGUAGCGGUGAAAUGCUCUGAUCCUCGGGGGACCACCAGUGGCGAAGGCGCCUGACGAGAACGGACCUGACGGUGAGGGGCGAAGGCUAGGGGAGCGAACGGGAUUAGAUACCCCGGUAGUCCUAGCUGUAAAGGAUGCGGGCCAGGUGUCUGGUGUUCCUCGAGAGCACCAGGCGCCGGAGAGAAGUCGUUAAGCCCGCCGCCUGGGAAGUACGGUCGCAAGGCUGAAACUUAAAGAAAUUGGCGGGGGAGCACCACAAGGGGUGGGACCUGCGGUUCAAUCGGAUUCAACGCCGAAAAACUCACCAGGGGCGACAGCUGGAUGAAGGCCAGGCUGACGACCUUGCCGGACUAGCUGAGAGGUGGUGCAUGGCCAUCGUCAGCUCGUACCGUGAGGCGUCCUGUCAAGUCAGGCAACGAGCGAGAUCCUCGCCCUUAGUUGCCACAGUGGAAAGCUGGGCACUAUAAGGGGACCGCUGGCGCUAAGCCAGAGGAAGGAGAGGGCGACGGUAGGUCCGUAUGCCCCGAAUCCCCUGGGCCACACGCGGGUCACAAUGCGUAGGACAAUGGGUUGCGACCUCGUAAGAGGAAGCUAAUCCCCUAAACCUACGCUCGGUUCGGAUCGAGGGCUGCAACUCGC
This 1183-nucleotide ribosomal RNA is filed under the name uncultured euryarchaeote. Its description in RNAcentral is "bacterial SSU rRNA". It matches the Rfam family "Archaeal small subunit ribosomal RNA", at positions 85 to 1271 of the family's 1478-position model. The record is from RNAcentral. Lineage: Archaea; Methanobacteriati; Methanobacteriota.